GAUUGUGCUCCUGAUAAGGAGGUACACUUCUUGCUAAAGAAUAAUUCUUUAACUUUCUAGUUGUUGUUUUUCUUGUAUUUAAUUUAAGCUUUUAUUUCUAUGCGAGUUUCUUCUUGCUAUUUGUUGUCUUUUCUCUUCAUUUAUUUAUUGGUUAAUAGUGUAAGGGUAAUUUCUUUAUUCUUGAAUUAAUGAAUAUGAAAGGAAAAGUUGGAAAUUGUAUGGAAUUUGGUACCCAAAACUUAUAUUUCUAUCUUAUUUUAUUUUAUACUUUAAAAUCUUAUAUUUUGUAUGCUUUUAUAACCAUGUUGAAAAUAUGGAAUAAGUAAUGAAUUUUUGUUAGUAAAUAUAGCAGUUGAUAUCUUGAAGGUGAUUGUGAAGAAUCAUAAGAAAAUGAUAUUCCACUUUGGUGAUGUUUCGGGUUUGUUUUCAUGGUGG
Molecule: unclassified non-coding RNA, 435 nt
Filed under: Hevea brasiliensis (rubber tree)
Lineage: Eukaryota; Viridiplantae; Streptophyta; Magnoliopsida; Malpighiales; Euphorbiaceae
Source: RNAcentral